CCCAGCAGGCUGCAGAAAGGACCCACAGGCCAGUGAUCGGGGCUCGGCUCAGUGCGAAGGCAGGACAAUGGCCAGGGACAAUAUCUAUGAGAACAUGCCGAUGACGGAAGCUGCUCCCCAGCCCAAAGGAAACCCUUCCAAGACAUCAGUCCCUUGGCGGCACAGGGCAGGGGGCAUCGUCACUCCUGUCCUUCUCCUCCUGAGUCUGGCCCUGGCCACGUCCCUCCUUGCUGUGACGCUUCUAUGCGCUUAGGCAGGAAGGGUGUGACAGAUACAGAGGCAGCAGUGGUAGUGACCCAAGCAAUGGAACAGACAGUGAAGAUGACCAGAUGUGGAAGCUGCGGGAUGAUCCUGGAGCAGGUACCUGAAAAGAGCUUGUUUGUAUGAAGCGCCGCCUGAGAGCUGAUGGAAGAGAAGAGCCGAGGUUUGGAGAUGCAGGUGGAAACUAUGGUUGAGUUUUGAAGGGGAUUCGAGCAGAUGAUGGAGGGAAGGUGAGAGGAGGCUGAAGGGAAAACUCAGGACUGGCAGAUC
Molecule: long non-coding RNA, 531 nt
Organism: Mauremys reevesii (Reeves's turtle)
Lineage: Eukaryota; Metazoa; Chordata; Testudines; Geoemydidae
Exons: 3
Source: RefSeq, a predicted model, not a curated record